UGUGAAUGUAGGCAGCCUAAUAUAGGAGGUAGAGACUCUAUGCCUUCCUUGAUGGAAAAAUUGCAGCACGACUUUGUUCUCUUUUGUAUUAGUUAAUCAUCAAUGUAGAGAACUCUCAUCACAACAUAUAAACUGAUUCAAAGUACCAGUGCUUCGUCAUGGCUGCCUCCUCUUCACCAGACAAUAAUACAAAAGCUCCAUGUCCCUGCUACCUGUUAACAAACAGAGGCUCAGGGAUAAAAGUGAUGGCGGGCUCCAGAGCCCCUUAUACAGCAGGCUGUUGGCAUCGCGUGCAUUUUUGGCAACAGGCAAAGCACGGGAGCCAUUGCAAACCUGGGCUAGAGCUGAAGACUGCUAAAUCCCACUCUUCUGUUCUGGUUACCAUCUCACACUGAUCGAGAGUGAACACAGCACUGCCAAAGAAGGAUGGAAACAUCACCUGAGCUGGAGUACGAUUUCCGAGCAGUCCUGGUGUGCAGUCACAUUGCUCAGUAGCCAGAGGUUUGCUUCAAGCAGUGAAGGGUUGCGGGGCUGUUCUCCAGGUGCCUGCAGAAGCUCGGUUUCUGAAAGGCCCCAGGAGCUGGUCGGAGGAGAGGGAACCCUCGCAGCCUUCCAGGCUGCCGGGAGCUGCUUUUCCAUCUCCUAGCAGAGAGUCGGCAACGAGCUCAGUCCUCUCUCUGGGACAGACAAACAGAUGUACAUACAUCGGUCAGGAUAUGGUAGCUUCAGUGAAACUUCACGAGCUAGGAGAGAUUUUCAGAAGCCCCAGCAAACAGCUUCCACAUCACUGACGUACAGUUUAACGUCUUUAAGAUGCACACUUAACCCAAAAGUCCUGUCUUCCAGUAAGAUUUUGGCCCGAAGCGCUGGUUUCAGCUUACGGUGAACUCGGGCUGUGGCAGAAGGCGGGCUGCUUGCAGCACUGGGUGGAAAGCAGCUGAGGAAAGCAUCGGCAGGCAAGUUCAAGUCUGGGGGGCUGCACGCCUGUGCCUCUAGCUGCAUCUACCUGUGCACACGCAUUUUGUAUCCUGAAUAAUACUCCCAUCCGCUAAGUAAGCGUUUUGAGAUUGUGAAGAGCAUCGUGAAACGCUUUUCGUGUAAAGACAUUGAAAAGGCUUUUCGUGCACAGAAAUCAUGUGAGCAUCCUUUUGCAAACCACCGAAAUCCGCUCCCCUGCUGUGAAGUAUCUGGGCUGGAAAGAGAAAACGUUGCACUCUGAUUUCGUAUUUUGUUAUUUUUAUGUUCAAGGCGCGUAAAGGAGCUUCUCCGAGCCUCUCCAUCCCUCCACCGCCAGCCUUUGGGCUCAGCCCUGCGGCGGAGCUCAAGGCGGUGUCCAGCCGGCGGGGUACCCCUGCCGGGGUGGGA
RNAcentral lists this long non-coding RNA (1365 nucleotides) under Anser brachyrhynchus (Pink-footed goose). RNAcentral describes it as "lncRNA (ENSABRG00000012097.1)". Lineage: Eukaryota; Metazoa; Chordata; Aves; Anseriformes; Anatidae. The record is from RNAcentral.